UAUUAGUUACAUGGUCCUGUGCUGAAACUGAUCGGAAGCGGAUGGUGUACGAUCCUUAUAUGGAAACGGGCUAAAGGGACAGGCACUCUCAUCAAGACCCUGACUGGGAUGUUUUUGUAAACAAACGCCGUAAAGUUGAAGUAACUCGAUCAAAAAAACAGAUGUUCAGCCAUUGCCUAUUGGCAAACAUGGAUGAGCUGAAUGAACUCUUAGCAGCUUUUCCAAAAUCGAGCAACUGAGAGAGCACUGAAGCUGAGGAGGAAGCCUGCAGUUGGGCUCUUACAAGCCACUGACAAGUACAUGGUGACCUGUGUAAAAGAAUGGCUUCGAGUUCCAGGAGCAAGGCUUAGAAAUGGCAUAAGGAAACGCGUACUGAAAAACAGAGGUGUAGAUAGAGAAUCUGCAAACAAAAGUGCUGAAUUGCAACAGAACAAAGAAAUCCAAAAAGUUGGCGUUGACAACAUAUUUUUCACAGGGUUAUGACCCUUGUUUUUGAACUUGGUACAUAUUCUGCCAGGUUCUCUUGGACACUACUGAAGUUAAUAAAUGAAACUGUCUGUGCUUAUCUAAGGUACAAACUCCAUAAGAUGGUUAUAAGAACUUAUUUUGUAUGGCGUUAUGGCCUUUGCUUCAUGCUUUUUUAACUUGAUGAAAUAUAGGGGGAAACAGUUUGUCUCACAAACGAAUUUGAAGCCACAUAAAUGAAAUUUUGCAGGCCAAUAUUAGGGGUAUAUGUUUAGACUGUGUUUUAAAACUGGUUUUGAGAAUAUAUGUUUCACGUCCGCCUUGUUGCAGGUAGUAACACUGUUUUCUUGUUAAUAAUAAUUAAUUAAUAAUAAAGUUUAUU
Long non-coding RNA from Haliotis rufescens (red abalone), 847 nucleotides. RefSeq lists it as uncharacterized. The transcript is spliced from 3 exons. The record is from RefSeq and is a predicted model, not a curated record. NCBI's taxonomy places the organism in Eukaryota, Metazoa, Mollusca, Gastropoda, Lepetellida, Haliotidae.